Molecule: transfer RNA, 77 nt
Filed under: Acidobacteriota bacterium
Lineage: Bacteria; Pseudomonadati; Acidobacteriota
Also listed under: 1 other name
Description: Acidobacteria bacterium tRNA-Arg
Rfam family: tRNA
About the family: Transfer RNA (tRNA) molecules are approximately 80 nucleotides in length. Their secondary structure includes four short double-helical elements and three loops (D, anti-codon, and T loops).
Source: RNAcentral
GCGCCCGUAGCUCAACUGGAUAGAGCGCCAGACUACGGAUCUGGAGGUUGCGAGUUCGACCCCCGCCGGGCGCACCA